This 498-nucleotide ribosomal RNA is filed under the name uncultured Actinomycetes bacterium. Its description in RNAcentral is "bacterial SSU rRNA". It matches the Rfam family "Bacterial small subunit ribosomal RNA", at positions 335 to 846 of the family's 1533-position model. The record is from RNAcentral. Lineage: Bacteria; Bacillati; Actinomycetota; Actinomycetes.
ACUCCUACGGGAGGCAGCAGUGGGGAAUCUUGCGCAAUGGGCGAAAGCCUGACGCAGCAACGCCGCGUGAGGGACGAAUGUUUUCUGAAUUGUAAACCUCUUUCAGCAGGGAAGAUAAUGACGGUACCUGCAGAAGAAGCACCGGCUAACUACGUGCCAGCAGCCGCGGUGAUACUUAGGGUGCAAGCGUUGUCCGGAUUUAUUGGGCGUAAAGAGCUCGUAUGCGGAUUGAUAANUCGGAUGUGAAAUCCCCAGGCUCAACCUGGGGCCUGCAUUCGAUACUGUCAUGACUAGAGUUUGGUAGGGGACCACGGAACUCCUGGUGUAGCGGUGGAAUGCGCAGAUAUCAGGAAGAACACCAGUAGCGAAGGCGGUGGUCUGGGCCAAUACUGACGCUGAGGAGCGAACGCGUGGGGAGCAAACAGGAUUAGAUACCCUGGUAGUCCACGCCGUAAACGGUGGGCACUAGGUGUGGGGACUAUUCAACGGUUUCCGCGC